GGAGCUUUAGGUUAAAUUAAACUUUUGGCUUUCAAAUUCAAAGAUUAACAGCUCAA
This 56-nucleotide transfer RNA is filed under the name Leptotrombidium fletcheri. RNAcentral describes it as "tRNA-Trp". The record is from RNAcentral. Lineage: Eukaryota; Metazoa; Arthropoda; Arachnida; Trombidiformes; Trombiculidae.